RNAcentral lists this ribosomal RNA (253 nucleotides) under uncultured bacterium. RNAcentral's name for it is "partial 16S ribosomal RNA". It matches the Rfam family "Archaeal small subunit ribosomal RNA", at positions 474 to 727 of the family's 1478-position model. The record is from RNAcentral.
UACCAUCACCCCGAGUGGUCGGGACGAUUAUUGGGCCUAAAGCAUCCGUAGCCGGUUCUACAAGUCUUCCGUUAAAUCCACCUGCUUAACAGAUGGGCUGCGGAGGAUACUAUAGAGCUAGGAGGCGGGAGAGGCAAGCGGUACUUAGUGGGUAGGGGUAAAAUCCGUUGAUCCAUUGAAGACCACCAGUGGCGAAGGCGGCUUGCCAGAACGCGCUCGACGGUGAGGGAUGAAAGCUGGGGGAGCAAACCGG